GACGACGCUGGCGGCGUGCCUAACACAUGCAAGUCGAGCGGAGAUACAUUGAAGAGCAAUCAGAUAUGUAUCUUAGCGGCGGACGGGUGAGUAACGCGUGGGCAACCUGCCUCAUACUGGGGGAUAACACAGGGAAACUUGUGCUAAUACCGCAUAAUAUCAUUAUAGGGCAUCCUGUGAUGAUCAAAGGAGCAAUCCGGUGUGAGAUGGGCCCGCGUCCAAUUAGCUAGUUGGUGAGGUAACGGCCCACCAAGGCGACGAUUGGUAGCCGAACUGAGAGGUUGAUCGGCCACAUUGGGACUGAGACACGGCCCAGACUCCUACGGGAGGCAGCAGUGGGGAAUAUUGCGCAAUGGGGGAAACCCUGACGCAGCAACGCCGCGUGAAGGAUGAAGGUCUUCGGAUUGUAAACUUCUUUGAUGAGGGACGAACACAAUGACGGUACCUCAAAAACAAGCCACGGCUAACUACGUG
Molecule: ribosomal RNA, 474 nt
Filed under: uncultured bacterium
Lineage: Bacteria
Description: bacterial SSU rRNA
Rfam family: Bacterial small subunit ribosomal RNA
Source: RNAcentral